AGUCGUAACAAGGUUUCCGUAGGUGAACCUGCGGAAGGAUCAUUACUGAGUGAGGGUCCCUCGGGGCCCAACCUCCCACCCGUGUAUACCGUACCUUGUUGCUUCGGCGGGCCCGCCGCGAAAGCGGCCGCCGGGGGGGGGCGUCAAACCCCCCUCCCUAGGCGAGCGCCCGCCGGAGACACCAACGUGAACACUGUCUGAAGUUUUGUUGUCUGAGUUCGAUUGUAUCGCAAUCAGUUAAAACUUUCAACAAUGGAUCUCUUGGUUCCGGCAUCGAUGAAGAACGCAGCGAAAUGCGAUAAUUAAUGUGAAUUGCAGAAUUCAGUGAAUCAUCGAGUCUUUGAACGCACAUUGCACCCCCUGGUAUUCCGGGGGGUAUGCCUGUCCGAGCGUCAUUGCUGCCCUCAAGCACGGCUUGUGUGUUGGGUCGUCGUCCCCCCGGGGACGGGCCCGAAAGGCAGCGGCGGCACCGCGUCCGGUCCUCGAGCGUAUGGGGCUUUGUCACCCGCUCUUGUAGGCCCGGCCGGCGCUGGCCGACGCUGAAAAGCAACCAACUAUUUCUCCAGGUUGACCUCGGAUCAGGUAGGGAUACCCGCUGAACUUAAGCAUAUCAAUAA
Molecule: unclassified non-coding RNA, 617 nt
Filed under: Aspergillus persii
Lineage: Eukaryota; Fungi; Ascomycota; Eurotiomycetes; Eurotiales; Aspergillaceae
Description: sequence contains 18S rRNA gene, ITS1, 5.8S rRNA gene, ITS2, 28S rRNA gene
Rfam family: 5.8S ribosomal RNA (bases 242-395)
Source: RNAcentral